Molecule: ribosomal RNA, 492 nt
Filed under: uncultured bacterium
Lineage: Bacteria
Description: partial 16S ribosomal RNA
Rfam family: Bacterial small subunit ribosomal RNA
Source: RNAcentral
AGUGAACGCUGGCGGUAGGCCUAACACAUGCAAGUCGAACGGCAGCACAGUAAGAGCUUGCUCUUACGGGUGGCGAGUGGCGGACGGGUGAGGAAUACAUCGGAAUCUACUUUUUCGUGGGGGAUAACGUAGGGAAACUUACGCUAAUACCGCAUACGACCUACGGGUGAAAGCAGGGGAUCUUCGGACCUUGCGCGAUUGAAUGAGCCGAUGUCGGAUUAGCUAGUUGGCGGGGUAAAGGCCCACCAAGGCGACGAUCCGUAGCUGGUCUGAGAGGAUGAUCAGCCACACUGGAACUGAGACACGGUCCAGACUCCUACGAGAGGCAGCAGUGGGGAAUAUUGGACAAUGGGCGCGAGCCUGAUCCAGCCAUGCCGCGUGGGUGAAGGAGACCUUCGGGUUGUAAAGACCUUUUGUUGGGAAAGAAAAGCAGCAGGUUAAUACCCCGCUGUUCUGACGGUACCCAAAGAAUAAGCACCGGCUAGCUUCGUG